UGUCUUUGAAUCAGUUUCAGAAAGUUUUAUAUUAUUGAUGUUGGUUUUCCAACUAUAACGAUAAACGAAAUUCGUAAUAAACAUUUUGGACCAGGGGGCGGUACCCUGCACCUCCACCAUUUACAACUCAUGGGGGUGAAAUAGGCUCGACAGAUGUCUAAAAGCUUUUCUUUCGUUCAGUAUUGUUCCGCUGUGACGGGCUACAUUUUAAAUGCUAACGAAAGUUACGCUAUUGCUGCUUAAUUAACUUCGGUUAAUUAAAAAGCAGGGGUCCGGGGCACCUUGCAACAGAACGCCCCACU
Molecule: non-coding RNA, 302 nt
Organism: Candidatus Pelagibacter sp. IMCC9063
Lineage: Bacteria; Pseudomonadati; Pseudomonadota; Alphaproteobacteria; Candidatus Pelagibacterales; Candidatus Pelagibacteraceae
Rfam family: Alphaproteobacteria transfer-messenger RNA
About the family: Bacterial tmRNA, also known as 10Sa RNA or SsrA, is named for its dual tRNA and mRNA-like properties. Its role is to liberate the mRNA from a stalled ribosome.
Source: Rfam